CAAGACCGUGAGGUGGAGCAAAACUCAAAAACUUGUCUCAGUUCGGAUUGUAGGCUGAAACUCGCCUACAUGAAGCUGGAGUUGCUAGUAAUCGCGAAUCAGCAUGUCGCGGUGAAUACGUUCCCGGGCCUUGUACACACCGCCCGUCACACCAUGAGAGUUGGCAAUACCCAACGUACGUGAUCUAACCCGCAAGGGAGGAAGCGUCCUAAGGUAGGGUCAGCGAUUGGGGUGAAGUCGUAACAAGGUAUC
This 252-nucleotide ribosomal RNA is filed under the name uncultured bacterium. RNAcentral describes it as "partial 16S ribosomal RNA". It matches the Rfam family "Bacterial small subunit ribosomal RNA", at positions 1250 to 1500 of the family's 1533-position model. The record is from RNAcentral.